AUAUUGGCGCGGGGACCAGGGUGAUCACGGACGCCCAGGCCCCAGGUGGAGGCUCGCCCUUGUACUCUGGCGGGCUGAAGACUGCGACGAUCCCUAAUCGGGAUCGCUGGGGGGAGCGUAGUUUUUGACAGUGGAGGGGUCUUCGGACCAUCCCUU
RNAcentral lists this small nuclear RNA (156 nucleotides) under Echinostoma caproni. Its description in RNAcentral is "U1 spliceosomal RNA". It matches the Rfam family "U1 spliceosomal RNA". From Rfam's summary of the family: U1 is a small nuclear RNA (snRNA) component of the spliceosome (involved in pre-mRNA splicing). Its 5' end forms complementary base pairs with the 5' splice junction, thus defining the 5' donor site of an intron. Lineage: Eukaryota; Metazoa; Platyhelminthes; Trematoda; Plagiorchiida; Echinostomatidae. The record is from Rfam by way of RNAcentral.